GAUGAACGCUGGCGGCGUGCCUAAUACAUGCAAGUCGAGCGAACAGACGAGGAGCUUGCUCCUCUGACGUUAGCGGCGGACGGGUGAGUAACACGUGGAUAACCUACCUAUAAGACUGGGAUAACUUCGGGAAACCGGAGCUAAUACCGGAUAAUAUAUUGAACCGCACGGUUCAAUAGUGAAAGACGGUUUUGCUGUCACUUAUAGAUGGAUCCGCGCCGCAUUAGCUAGUUGGUAAGGUAACGGCUUACCAAGGCAACGAUGCGUAGCCGACCUGAGAGGGUGAUCGGCCACACUGGAACUGAGACACGGUCCAGACUCCUACGGGAGGCAGCAGUAGGGAAUCUUCCGCAAUGGGCGAAAGCCUGACGGAGCAACGCCGCGUGAGUGAUGAAGGUCUUCGGAUCGUAAAACUCUGUUAUUAGGGAAGAAAAAAUGUGUAAGUAACUAUGCACGUCUUGACGGUACCUAAUCAGAAAGCCACGGCUAACUACGUG
Molecule: ribosomal RNA, 497 nt
Filed under: uncultured bacterium
Lineage: Bacteria
Description: partial 16S ribosomal RNA
Rfam family: Bacterial small subunit ribosomal RNA
Source: RNAcentral